RNAcentral lists this long non-coding RNA (215 nucleotides) under Amborella trichopoda. Its description in RNAcentral is "long non-coding RNA (ATRI_LNC000742)". Lineage: Eukaryota; Viridiplantae; Streptophyta; Magnoliopsida; Amborellales; Amborellaceae. The record is from RNAcentral.
UAAUUUUCUAUGAACCCGGUGGCAAAUUCAAAGCAUCUAAGGAAGAGGAAGAGAUUGUGGAUUUCCGUGGGAGAAGCAUGGCUGAAGACCAGAGUGUCAUCUGCGUAUUGGAGGUGAAAAACUGGGGGAGCCCCAAGUCCCAUAGAGAAGCCAUGCAACAAAUCUGCAGCAUACAUACUGUCAAAAGACUGGUUAAAAACGUUUGUCGAGAUAGC